UUGCUCUUCAACGAGGAAUCCCUAGUAAGCGCAAGUCAUCAGCUUGCGUUGAUUACGUCCCUGCCCUUUGUACACACCGCCCGUCGCUACUACCGAUUGAAUGGCUCAGUGAGGCGUCCGGACUGGCCCAGAGAGGUGGGCAACUACCACUCAGGGCCGGAAAGCUCUCCAAACUCGGUCAUUUAGAGGAAGUAAAAGUCGUAACAAGGUCUCCGUUGGUGAACCAGCGGAGGGAUCAUUACCGAGUUUACAACUCCCAAACCCCUGUGAACAUACCUAUACGUUGCCUCGGCGGAUCAGCCCGCGCCCCGUAACAAGGGACGGCCCGCCCGAGGACCCCUAAACUCUGUUUUUAGUGGAACUUCUGAGUAAAACAAACAAAUAAAUCAAAACUUUCAACAACGGAUCUCUUGGUUCUGGCAUCGAUGAAGAACGCAGCAAAAUGCGAUAAGUAAUGUGAAUUGCAGAAUUCAGUGAAUCAUCGAAUCUUUGAACGCACAUUGCGCCCGCCAGUAUUCUGGCGGGCAUGCCUGUUCGAGCGUCAUUUCAACCCUCAGGCCCCCAGUGCCUGGUGUUGGGGAUCGGCCCAGCCUUCUCGCAAGGCCGCCGGCCCCGAAAUCUAGUGGCGGUCUCGCUGUAGUCCUCCUCUGCGUAGUAGCACAACCUCGCAGUUGGAACGCGGCGGUGGCCAUGCCGUUAAACACCCCACUUCUGAAAGUUGACCUCGGAUCAGGUAGGAAUACCCGCUGAACUUAAGCAUAUCAAUAAGCGGAGGA
This 776-nucleotide ribosomal RNA is filed under the name uncultured fungus. Its description in RNAcentral is "eukaryotic LSU rRNA". The stretch from base 1 to 241 matches the Rfam family "Eukaryotic small subunit ribosomal RNA", at positions 1593 to 1831 of the family's 1831-position model. The record is from RNAcentral. Lineage: Eukaryota; Fungi.